AAUUGUCUAAAUGGAUUGGCGCUUACGAUAACGCUAAGCGUAUGCAACAAAAUGGGUGGUCAGAUCAAGAUGUAUUGGUGAAAGCGCAAGAAAUAUAUUUAGGUGGUGGUACCGGAAAUUUCAAUUUAAUGAAAGAAUGGAUCGCUGUCCAUGAUCAACAACGUUAUGGUAGUCAAGUAGGAGGGAACAUUGGCUCUAAAAGCAGUGGAUUUAAGAGAGCCCACUAUAGUGAUUUUAGUGACUUCAACUCUGCAGGAUCCAUUGCUCGUCCAAUGGAAAGGGAUGCAGCAAAAAGUAAAGCUAAAAAAAAAGGCAAGGGCAUAGUUUUGGAAGUGGUCAACAAAGAUUUUAAUGAAUUCAAAUAAAUCAAGGCUCAAGAGUUUGAACGCUUGGAAAAACUAGCCAUGUUGCAAGAGGAGGCAAACCAAAAGCGAAAAGAGGCAAUCCAAAGGCAAGUGGAGGCAAACCAAAGGCAAGAUGAGUUUCCUUCUCUCCUGUUGUGCCACGUGGGAUGACAGCGCACAAACUCGAGCGUCAACGGCGUGACACGUGUCCAUGUUUAAUGAAACGAUGCGUAGCAGAUGCGUCUGUGUGGGGCGUGUUGGGCUCGCCUGUGUUUUACACGUAUCGUUUGUGGCCCAUCCAUAACUUGAUUAAGCGAAAACGCAGCUUAAUUGGCGUUUUGGUAUUAGGGUUGAACCCGUGUGUUUCUCCGCCAUCCUCUGUAACUGAAUUCAAAGAGUGAUUCGUUCAUCUUCUUCCUAUCGAUUUGAAUGAUACCGGUUACAGAUUAACCCUCUUCAAGUUCUUCUUUAAUCCAUACCCCAUGAUCUCUAUUGAAUGCGAUCUUAGCUUCUGGGAGGCGGUGGAAUUGCUACUAUAAAAAGAUUCAGUACACUCUUCCUCUCUUCCUCUCAAUAGACUCCUGCAAAGAUGGAAGAGUCAUGGCUAUAGCUGUCCGAUUUGAAGCCUGGCCUUUGUUCUCAGAUCGUUGUCUUCGCCUCCUCCUCCGCUGUUGAAAUCAUGGGCGUCGAUAUGACUUCUGAGUGAUAAGGUUGGUCUAUUAUUGUCUUUUCGUAAAUAUCUUUACAAUGAUUGGUAUUUUGCAAACUCAUAAAUCAUAAUCAACUCUUUCAUUGCAACAUGAGUCUCCCAUCCAAGCCUCUGUCACCGACCACCUGCUAAACACUUUUAAAAGAAUUCCUCAUUCGGAAUCCGAAGUAUGAGCUAAGUGGAUUCGAUCUGGAUUUGCUGUGAAGAAACAGAUGCUGGAUGAUAGAGGGUUCCCAAAAUAGCAUGUCAACUUGCAGCGACGGUUAUUUCACAUGGAGAAUAAGUAUUUCCAAGAGUGAAAGAAAAAUGUUCCACGAAGCUCUUUUACCUCUCCUUUGUUUCCAUCAAGUUUCUUUUCUCUAUCAAUCAUCACCAGAGGUUUUUGCGGUGAACGGUUUUGCCAGGUUGUAUAAUUUGAAAUUAUUGAUGAGUUAUAAUGUACUUCAAUACACCCACACAAAUACAAUGGACAAAUUAUUCAAAUUUGAGAACCAGAUUUCGAGCAUAAAUUUUCAUCA
Molecule: long non-coding RNA, 1571 nt
Organism: Raphanus sativus (radish)
Lineage: Eukaryota; Viridiplantae; Streptophyta; Magnoliopsida; Brassicales; Brassicaceae
Exons: 6
Source: RefSeq, a predicted model, not a curated record